UAAGGUUGCUCCGGGCUCACGUCGAACGCUGGCGGCGUGCCUAAUACAUGCAAUCCUUCCGAGCGGUUCUAACACAUUUACUUCGGUUAUGACAUUCCGAAAGCGAGCCGGGGAGGGUGGACUAAGACCUGGGAAACCUGCCCCGUAGCCUGGGAUACCACUUGGAAACAGGUGCUCAUACCGGAGAAGAAAGCAGAUCGACUGAUCAGCUUUUAAAAGGCGGCUUAAGCUGUCCCUAUGGGAUGGCCCCGCUCUGUUCUCGCUAGUCGGCAAGGUGAAGGCUUACCAAGGCCAUGAUGCAUAGGGGAGUGGAGACACUGAUCGGUCACAUUGGGACUGAGACACGGCCCCAACUCCUACAGUAGGCAGCCCAACGGAAUCUUCCACACUGGACGCAAGGGUGAUGGAGCAACG
RNAcentral lists this ribosomal RNA (414 nucleotides) under uncultured bacterium. RNAcentral describes it as "bacterial SSU rRNA". It matches the Rfam family "Bacterial small subunit ribosomal RNA", at positions 1 to 396 of the family's 1533-position model. The record is from RNAcentral.